Molecule: long non-coding RNA, 6459 nt
Filed under: Manihot esculenta (cassava)
Lineage: Eukaryota; Viridiplantae; Streptophyta; Magnoliopsida; Malpighiales; Euphorbiaceae
Description: long non-coding RNA (MESC_LNC007230)
Source: RNAcentral
UCGGCGGCACCUUCGGCGGCCGAAAGUGCCCUCCAGAGACGAAAGUCCAUUCGGGGGCAGGCUUCGGCAGCCGAAAGGCUUGCCUCACAGACAGGUUCGGCAGCCGAAAAUCCUUUCGGCUGCCGAACCUAGUUUCUCCCAAAGGGCAAAAACUCAGCUCUUCAAUACACACUUUCCUCCCAAACCUCCCAAACAAGCAUCCAACUCUCUCAAAGCAUGCAUACACACAUACAUCAACACCUAGGGGUCUUAGACUAUCCUAAACCCUAAAUACAACACAUCAAACAUACACAAAUAUCAUACAUUGUCCAUAAGUUCACAUAAAACCUAACCAAGUUCAACUACCCUAAACAUGCAUUUCUACCCCAUGAAUCAACUUAAAACUUACUUAAAACAUAAAAUGAGUUCAAGAUCGGCUCUUACCUCUUGAAGAUCGAGAGAGAGAUGACCUAAACUUGGAGAACCAAGGAAAAGAGCUCCUGAGUCUUCCAAGCCUCAAAACUUGCUUAAAUGCUCAAAAAUCUUCAAAACAAAGUGAAAUCUCAUGAAAAUCAUAAAAGAUUUGUAAGAAGAGACUCAAAAUAGAUGGGGAACGGCGGAGAGCUCACCUUGGCCGAAAUGGGGAGAAAAGCUCGCCCAUUUCGGACAAGGGACCCCUUUAUAGGUGGCUGGCCAGGCCACUUUCGGGGGCCUAACGUGCCUCCGCAUGCAUGCCAUGUUCGGCAGCCGAACUUAAGGUUCGGUGGCCGAACCUAGACUUCCCUCACUUAUGCCUUCGGGGGCCUAAAGCACUCCCGAAGCGCAUGCAUGUUCGGCGGCCGAACUUGAGGUUCGGCGACCGAACCUGAGUCUUCCUCCAAGGUCUAUUUCAUUCAAAACUCAUUUUUCUUCUUACUUAAAAUCAUCAAAUACAUUAAAACAUUUUAUAAAAACAUGAUUUUACCCUUCUAGAGGUCUCCGACAUCCGAGAUUCCUCCGAUCAGUAGGAAUUCCGAUACCGGAGUCUAGCCGGGUAUUACAGCCUCCACAUCUUGAGUGCGAAGAUCACAGCUGCCAUCUCUAGAUCGUGUGUAGGAUAAUUCAACUCAUGCUUUUUCAGCUGCCUAGAAGCAUAAGCAAUUACCCUAUCAUUUUGCAUUAACACACAACCUAGUCCCACACGGGACGCAUCACAAAAUACUGUGAAGUCUUCAUUACUGCUAGGCAGAGCUAACACCGGUGCUGACGUUAACCUUUUGUUCAGCUCCUCAAAGCUUUCCUCACACUGCUCAGACCACACAAACCUCUGAUUCUUCUUGGUCAAUCUGGUCAUAGGAGCGGCGAUUUUGGAGAAGUCUUGUACGAACCUCCUAUAGUAAUCUGCCAAACCCAGAAAGCUCUUAAUCUCUGUAAUUGUAGUGGGUCUAGGCCAGUUAGCUAUAGCUUCCACCUUCUUGGGGUCCACUUCAAUUCCCUUUUCCGACACAACAUGUCCCAAGAAGGAAAUGCUCCUUAACCAGAACUCACACUUUGAGAACUUGGCAUACAAGCCAUGCUCCUUCAGGGUCUGCAAAACCAUCCUCAGAUGAUGGGCAUGCUCCUCUGCAUUUCUGGAAUACACCAAGAUAUCAUCAAUGAAGACAAUAACAAAGUGAUCCAGAUACUGACUGAAAACUCUAUUCAUGAGAUCCAUGAAUGCUGCAGGGGCAUUGGUUAGCCCAAACGACAUUACUAGGAACUUAUAAUGCCCAUAUCUAGUCCUGAACGCCGUCUUCGGCACAUCUUCUUCUCUGAUUCUCAGCUGAUGAUACCCGGAUCUCAGAUCUAUCUUGGAAAAACAACCUGUUCCUGUUAGCUGGUCAAAUAGAUCAUCGAUCCUAGGUAACGGAUACUUAUUCUUGGUAGUGACUUUGUUCAACUGCCUGUAGUCGAUACAAAGUCUCAAGGAUCCAUCCUUCUUCUUUAUAAACAGCACUGGAGCACCCUAAGGUGAGGUACUCGGUCGGAUGAAACCCUUGUCUACCAACUCUUGCAACUGCUCCUUUAGCUCCUUCAACUCUGCUGGUGCCAUCCUGUAGGGAGGGAUAGAGAUCGGUCUGGUUCCAAGCAUCAAUUCUAUUUCGAACUCCAUCUCCCUAGCAGGUGGUAGUCUAGGAAGCUCAUCUGGGAAGACAUCUAGAAACUCUCUGACCACGGGCACUGAGGCGGGCUCCCUAACCUGACUAACCAGCUCUCUCACAUGAGCUAGAAACCCCUGACAACCCCUCCUGAGCAACCUACGAGCCUGUAGGGCUGAUAUCAGGCCUUUAGGCAUACCCCUCCUGUCUCCCCUGAAGAAAACCUCUGACCCAUCUGAUCUCUGAACCUGACUACCUUGUCUUUGCAAUCGAAGGUAGCACCAUGAGUAGAUAGCCAAUCUGUAAUACCCGGCUAGAUCUCGGCAUCGGAAUCCCGACUUUCCGGCGGAAUCACCGUUGGAACCUGGAAUGUUGGAGAUGCCAGAGUCUUCUAGGGGGUUAAAAUGUGUUUUCUAAAAUGUUUUCACUUGAUUUUAUGGUUUCAAAUGGAAAGGAAACUGAGUUUUUAAAAGUUUAGGCUAAGGAGGCAUUUGCCAGGUUCGGCCGCCGAAAGUCAAGUUCGGCCGCCGAACAUGGGGCUGUUUCGGGAGUGCUUUAGGCUUCCGAAAGUGUGAGGGCAGAAAGCAGGUUCGGCCGCCGAACAUGCAUGAGUUUAGGAGGCACGUUAGGCUGCCGAAGGUCGUCGACCAGGCCACCUAUAAAAGGCCCUCAGACCGAAAAUGGGCGAGUUUUCUCCCCAUUCUCGAGCUUAGGUGUGUUCAUGUCCUCCUCUAGUCAUUUUUAUGCUUUUUCUUCAAUCCUUCACGUUUUUAUAAGUUUCAUGGUUGUUUUGAAGAGUUUUGGGUUCAAAGAUAAAGUUUGGAGCUUGGAGAACCAAGGGGUUUGUUUCCUCCCAUCUCCAAGUUAGAGAUCACACCAACCCUCGAUCUUCAAGAGGUAAGUGUAGAUCUAUGCUUUCCUUUAUGUUUUAAUGAAGUUUUAAGGAGUUUUAAUGCUUGAGUAUGGGUAGAUAUGCAUGUUAGGGUUUAUGUGGGUUUUGUGCCCAAUAUGUGUUUAUGUGAUGUUAUAUUGAAGGUUUAAGCUAGGUUAUGCAUGUGGGAGAGUGUAUGCAUGAUUGGGAAAGAGCAAGUGAGAUUAUGGGUUGUUUUGAUGGUUUUGGCCUAUGUGGGUCAUAAACUAUCUAUGUAUGCUUUGGAUGUUGUUUUUGGAGUUCAAUCUAGUUGUUAAGCUCCUUUAUGCAUGACUAAGGGUUUAUGCUUGGUUUUGAGAAGUUUCUGCAUGUUUUAUGAGGUUGGAUGUUUGUUUUGGGGGGUUGGGAGGCUUGUAUGCACAAGGGCUGAGUUCUGGAAGAACUCAGGUUCGGCCGCCGAAGGUGGUUUCGGCCGCCGAGCCUGCCUAUGGAUGCAUGGAUUGGCCGCCAAACCUUGCCCCCGAAAGUUAUGUUUCGGAGCUGGAGCAGACUUUCGGCCGCCGAAGGUAAUGUUCGGCUGCCGAAAGUGCCUGACUUUCGUCUCUGGAGAGAGGGUUCGGCCGCCGAAAGUGCCCCCGAACCUGCAUGACUUUCAUCUCUGGAAGGGACCUUCGGCCGCCGAAAGUGCCCUGUCCAGCCCUUUCAUGGGUGUUUUCUAUGAUUGUUUUAAGGAUGUUUUAGGGGGUUUUUGGGUAGUUGUUGUGAAGUUGUGUAGAGUAUGUUUGGCACCUCACUGGAGUCCACCUGUGUAGGAUCAGACCCGAGGAACCGAGGUGUUUAGCAGUGUUAGCUGCUUCAGAGUCGGUCCAGAGCUAGUCAAGAUGAGUAGAACAUAACUCUUUUUAAUAUUAAAAAAAUUAAAUGUUCUAAGCAUGUUCAUGCAUCACGGAUACCAUGAUUAUGAAAUAGGUUGUUUGCAUUAGAGUUCACAAAUAUGUUGCAUUGCAUAAUACGGUGAUGAUGAUAUGGAUGAAUAUUGGAUGAUCCAUUAGCCCUCAGUAUGAUGUGUUAUGAUAUAACAUGAUAGGACAUGAUAGGACAUGUAUGGCAUGAUAUGAGAUGGAAAGACCAGGUGUGGCCGUAUCGCCCCUGGCAUAGAGCAUUGUUGGACUUGUUAUGAGAUGAGAUCUAGAUGUAGAGGGCUAAUGGUGACGAAUUCAUCCUUGAUGUGUAUUGUUUGUGAUGUGAUGCAUGUCAUGAAAGUAUAUAUUAUAAUAAACUGUUUUCUCUAUAGUUCUGCUCACUGGGCUUUAUAGCUCACUCCUCUCCCCUAACCCCAGGUUUGCAGGGUCAGAGAUAGUCAGGAGAUCAGCAGGUUAUGUCUAUGGUCAUGUUUAUGUAAUAGAUUAGUAGUGGACAUGAUGUAAGGUAAAGAUAUGUAAUGAAAUCUAAAAUGUUAUAAUGUAAUGUAAUGGAUAGAGUUGUGUUUUGCCCUAGAAGUGUGGUUAAUCCCUUUGCACAUGGUCCUUAUGUAUGUUUUUUUUAUGAGGCAUGAUAGCCAAGCUUAGUGUAUGUUGCCCCACGUGAGUUGUCGAUGAGAACUCUAGUGUUGGGGUUUAUGGUUAUGCGUUGUGCAUGCACAGGUUAAGCUUGGUGUUUGAAAGAAAGAAAGAGUUUACAGUUUUAUGUUUUAAAGUUUUUAUAUUUAUGUUUGAUCAUGUAUGGGGAUUACACCAGAUGUACAGGAUGUAUGUUAGGCUUGCUACGGGUCUCGGCGACCUUAUGUCGAUCUGGAUCCUAGCGCUGGUAGCUGAUAGAGCCAAAAUUAGACCCAUUUUCUAUGUUUAUAUUUAUGUCAAUUUACACAUUUUCUACCUAACUUUGUGGUUUUUGUCUUAUUUUGUAGGAAAUGGAGCAAAAUGGUAAUUUGGCUAAAAUGGCCUUAAUUCUGCCCAAAAGACAGCAAAAGAGAAUAAGCAUGGUUUGCCCAACUUGAUUGCCCAAGCCAAGGAGAAGCUGAGAUAAAGAGGAAAAAGUGAUAAAGUAUGCUGUCCAGACUGUUUGCCCAAACAGCACUGGGCUGUAACAGCCCGGAAAUCCGGACCGCUACCGGCGCUAGGAUCCGGAUCGGCGUAAGGCCGCCGGGACCCGUAGCAAGCCUAACAUAACCUGUAAUCCUGUUUAAUCCCAUACAUGAUCAACAAUAAACAUAAAUCUUAAAACUUUUCUUUCAUACAUGUCAUCAAUCACCAACUCAACCUGUACAUAUUCUGAACAUAUACAUAAACAUCGUCCCUCAGUGGGAUCUCAUCAAAGCCUCAAGGGCCAUACAUCAUAUGGUGAGUUGGUUUACAUCCACAUCAUAACAUAAAAUCAUGUACAUACCAAGGGAUUAACAUAUACUAUGGUCAAGCACAACUCUAUCCUCAAUAACAUAAUUACAUGAACAUAACUGUUCAAAGCUUUACAUUACAUUCUUAUAAUUUGUCAUGUCCACAUACUCUAGCUAUUACAUACAUAUGACUUUUCUCUUCUUUUCUUCUCUAUCAAUCCCGUACCUGCAAACCUGGGGGUUAGGGGAGAGGGGUGAGCUAAAAGCCCAGUGAGUAGAAACUAAAAACAUUAUAUUAAAGUUCAUGCUUUCAUGAAAUGCAUCACAUCACAGACAAUUCACAUCAAGGGUGAAGCGGUCACCAAUUAGUCCCAACAUAGUCUCGUGCCAGGCCGUAGCAUGGGGUCCUGGUCUUUCCUGUCACAUUAUAUAUCUAUUAAGUCUCGUGCCAGGCCGUAGCAUGGGGUCCUGGUCUUUCCGUCAUAACAUACAUAAUGCCUCGUGCCAGGCCGUAGCAUGGGGUCCUGGUCUUCCUGUCACAUCAUAUAUUAUGUCUCAUGGACUAAUUGGAUCAUACAGCAUUCACCCACAAGCGCAAAGGAAAAUGCAAUGCAACAUAUUCGUGAACUAAUGCAAUCAACCUAUUACAUAUCAUCAUGAUGCGUGAAGCAUGCUCAGAACAUUUAAUUACUUGAUUUAAAACAUUAAGCUUGUUUCCACUCACCUCUGGCUAGCUCUGACCAGACACUGAAGCAGCUCACUCACUGCUGGGGUCCUCGGUUCCUCGGGUCCGAACCUACACAGGUGGACUCUAAUGAGGGACCAAACAUAUAUAAACAUAACUCUAAACAUAUAUAAACAUAACUCUAAUAUCCCCCAAGAACCCCCUAAAACAUCAUGAAAACAUCAUAGAAAAUAUGCAUGAAAUGGCUGAACAGGGCACCUUCGGCGGCACCUUCGGCGGCCGAAAGUCCCGGACAGAGACGAAACUCAGCUAGGUUCGGCGGCACCUUCGGCGGCCGAAAGUGCCAGACAGAGACGAAAGUCUCUUUUCGGGGGCACCUUCGGCAGCCGAAAGCUGCCUUCACAAGAGGGGUUCGGCGGCCGAAACUCCCUUCGGCUGCCGAACCUGGUUUCUGCCAAACGGCAGAAACUUGGUN